This 305-nucleotide ribosomal RNA is filed under the name uncultured bacterium. RNAcentral's name for it is "bacterial SSU rRNA". It matches the Rfam family "Bacterial small subunit ribosomal RNA", at positions 337 to 658 of the family's 1533-position model. The record is from RNAcentral.
UCCCUACGGGACGCAGCAGCGGGGAAUAUUGCACAAUGGGGGAAACCCUGAUGCAGCGACGCCGCGUGAAGGAAGAAGUAUUUCGGUAUGUAAACUUCUAUCAGCAGGGAAGAAAAUGACGGUACCUGACUAAGAAGCCCCGGCUAACUACGUGCCAGCAGCCGCGGUAAUACGUAGGGGGCAAGCGUUAUCCGGAUUUACUGGGUGUAAAGGGAGCGUAGUCGGUGCAGCAAGUCAGAAGUGAAAGCCCGGGGCUCAACUCCGGGACUGCCUUUGAAACUGUUGAACUAGAUUGCAGGAGAGGG